UCAUUCCCCCCUCGCCCCAUCUACGAUUUCUCUCACGUCUUAGGGUUCAUCACUCAUCGCUUCCCCUCCGCCACCGAUUCUCCCUAUGACUCCAUCCUUCAUCUCAAGUUAUCCAGGCACAUAGGGGCGUGGUCUUUCAUUUCAAGUUCCCUGACCUCGUCGCAGUCGUGUCUGCCGCGCCCGAUGAUGCCCCGCGACUCGGGCCGCUGGAGCUCAGCCUACUGGGCAUGGAUCCGGGCGGCGGCGGGGAUCUGAGUGUUUCGUCGUCAACCACUCGACCGACGGGCCGUUUCGCUUUUCGAUGGAGCAGAUUCCCGCCAGAGUUGGGGCUCCCACCGAUGGGAGCGCUGCCGCCCCCGAGCUGAAGCGUCGGCCUGGUUGCUUGGCGGAGCUGCUGCUGCCGGACUCCUCUCCGACCUACUAUUGCCUCUGGUCCCACACGUCGACUGUCCUCCGUGCGCCGCCAUCCGGCAGAUCCCCUCGUCAGCUGCCCCAUCGUUCUUCCUCCGCCACCUGAUUCAACGUCCGGUUCUGUAUCUACAGAGAUUUAGAAGAUGGUACCACUUAUAAUUGAGAGGUAAACAAGAGCUCUGCUAUUCUCAAUUAGAUUUCUUAAAUAAGUUAUUAUUCACGCGAUGGCUCCUAUCUGUCGAUUCAUUCACUGUCUGCAGCUGGAAAGCACGUGAACUUUUUUAUCACCGGAUAUUACAGGCUUGAUUUGUACAUGAUAUAUCAUUUCUCCACAUCUUGCUAACAUCAGGCAAUCAUGGAAAUUAUAGUCAUUAGUGUUAUUGCAACCACUUCUGCUAUUUGAAGGAUUAGGUUUUGUUGCUUGAGCUCUACAGUCUACAGGCCACUGCUCACUCGUGGUUACUGUUCAUCAACUAUAUGUAAUCCUGCUAAUGCACUCGUUUGUCAUGUGCAAUGACAUAGGUAAGUAAUUCAGUAACCUUGCAAUAUAAAAGAGUACUUAUCUAUUUAAUUUUAACGUACGUAAUUCAGUAGACUUGGCAUGCCUAGCUCAAUCUUAUUUGCACAUCUUGCAGACAAUAUCUUAUUUACAAAGUUAUAUGCAAGUAUGUAAGAAGCAAAAGAUAUGUUGUUGCCGUAGUUGCGAGAGGUCAUCUGGCGGUACCAUGGACUCGAUACUAGCCCUAAUUAUUUUAAAAGAUAAACUGAGGUUUUUGUAAAUUUUGGGUAUUUUGGGUCGUUGCAAAUUUUGGACUACAUGAGUAGUCAGAGACAUCUUUUAGUAGGUCACCUCAUUGAGCUUAUUUUGUCAGAGAUCAUCUUUUAAUGCCUUAAUGGACUCGUUCCUUAGCCGAGAUUUUGAUGGAAGGAUGGCUAGGAGCUGGUCUUGGCUAGGUGCACCAAAGCAUGGGAGAUGGUGGAGAAGGAUGCCGAUGAUGCAGAGUUUGUUCUCCGGUGAUGCCGUAGGCCGUUCAAGGGAAGAGGAUAUGCGUGCCGCUGACUCCGAUCAAUGGCAUAUUUAUCUCCAAUCAUGUGCUGACAAGGAGCACCGCAUCCGCCCACAAGUAAUUCGCCGACGAUGAGGAGUUUGAGAUGGCCAGUAGGAUAGGUACAUUUGUCUGUGAAUUUUGUCUAAAUCUCGUGUGACCCUUUACAUCUUCAGAUUCUUCCCAUGUAUUUUUUAUGUUCUUAAGUGUCAGUCUGCUGGCUACAUGACGCUUUCUGAAGCCAAUCAUAGUGUGAUUUCUGAGCUAAGGGCAUGUGUUGUUCGAUCACCACAAAUCCGCAACACCGAGAUAAGAUGGUUGCAUUUGUCCCAAUUUUCAUUAAUCCCAGCUAUUACUGAACAUUCAACCAUGCUUGCCAAUAAAAGCUACGCGUGUGUAUCACAAUCUUAGUGGCCUACCAUACAGGUUGAUCUGUAACAAUUAGGCGUGUUUGAUCUACAUUUCUAUUGCUUUCCUGCAUAAUAGGUGAUGAUGGUGUCUGUAGCCUCUGAGGGACAUGAAUCUAAAUAUUCAGAGAUUUUCAUUUAUAAGAUAUUUGUGACAAGACAUCCUAUUGACGGUAUUCACACGUCACAAGGCUUAUUAUGCAGCACAAUGAUAAACCUACAAAAUGUUUGAGGAUUUAUUUAAAAAACAGUAACAUAUAUUGCUAAAGAAUGCCCACAUGGAGCUUACUUUUCGUUCCAGGGUUUAUCAAGUAGCGCUUCUGGACAAUGCACCUGUGGAUGCAUAUUCAAACUAAAAUAUCAUAUGUUUGCAACAGAAAUUUUAUAAUAUGUAAGGUUUCUAUCAGUUUUGUUGGCCUGAAGAAUACAUGUAAAACAGAAAAGUUUUCUGGUAAGUACUAUUCAUUUCCUUGUUUUUUCAGAAAGUUUCUGGCAGUUUUGUUAAUCUGAGUAAUACAUGUAAAUGGAAAAGUUUGCUGGUACUUGCUCUUGUUGAUGCAAAGGUCGACCUCUAACUAAACCAGCAUGGCUGAGCACGUCAGUCCUUUGAAAGUUAAACUUGGUUUUUUGCUUCUAAGAUGUACCUUGAUUGUGUCUGGUGCAAACAUGAAUAUUUCAAGCUUGCGAGCGGAUGCUCUUGAUUAUAUAAUUUGACUAUUGUGAUUACUAUGGUUAUCUGCCGAAAUAGCACAUCCCUACUAUAAGUGAAAAUAUGAAUAUUUUAAGCUUGCAAGUGAAUGCACUUGAUUAUAUAAACCCAUGUACUUUAUCUUUGUGCCAAAAAAAAACAUAUAUUGAUAGGUCCUCUUAAUCAUUCAGGAGAUGAUGUCCUUAUUACCGAGUGCAGAUAACCACAUUGAGAAUCAUAAAUACACCCCCUUUGUUGCAAAUUUUUUUUUGGGACCGUCUUAAUGCUCUCGUUAUUCUUAUUCACAAGAUUAAUCGGUUUACCUGCCGAUUCUUACUGGUGUCCCUGAUUUUGUUGUUAUCAAAGUAGAAGCUAUCAUCACCAAUAUGUUAUUUAUCUUAAUGUUGUAACACUGAAGUAUGAUCAUUCGCAAUGUUGGAUCUCCUAAGUGCGCAUGAAGCUACAACAAGAUUUGAUAGACGAAAUGGUUAAAUGGAAAGCAAGCUGAAAGAAAUCCGCUUUAACAAGUUCUUCAUAGCUUGUUUCUUCCAAGAGCUCUUUCAUCUAAUCCAAGGCUCAAGAAAAGCUUUUCCAUGAUUGCUGAGUGGAAUGAUCAGUCAGACAAUGACAUGAUUGAUGGCAUUCUUCACUUUCUCAUUAGUCAGUCUGCUAAAUGAUCAAUAGGAUUUCAAUCUGACUAAAUUUGUUUUGUAACACAGGAUAACACUGAAGAGAAGUAGGUGAAGUAAAAUGUGAAGUGCUAAUUAUUCUUCUAAUGCAUAGAUAAUUGUCUUGGUACGAGUUCUCGUCUAUGAGAAGUAUCCAGCUUACAUGUUUUAGUUCAGACCAUGGUCAAUGAUUUUGCAUAGAGUUAAUGCCAAUUAGAAGUUUCUUAUUUCUGCACUACACAAGUGUACAUAUUCAAAACAGUGUUUGUGACUUACUAUAUUCAAGUUAAAUUUUAGCAAUUUAGAAAGUAUACAUAACUUGCUGAAGGAUUAAUGCUCUAUAUUGUAGUGUUCAUUGUGGUGGAUUAAUGCAAUAGGAAUGUCCCUUUUACUUGAUGAAGUUUUGCCAACUAUUUUGAUCAUUUGUUUCUUGUUGUGCCUAUACAGGUCCAGACUUGUAACUUUUCUGUCGAUAUUUUUCUUGUUUUUUGUCGAUAUGGGGAUUAUCAUGGUACAUGUAACUAAUCAAGCAGGUAAUAUAUUCCAGUUCGUGGAGGUGCAACACUAGCUACCGAUGAUGAAGAAUUAAUGUGUUGGUGCGACAAAUUAAGAACAAAUUAUCUAGAAUUUUAUUGUAUCGGAAUAUUAUAUUGCUAUCUUUUUUCAAACAUGUGAUUUUUUAUGUA
This is a long non-coding RNA of Lolium rigidum, 3906 nucleotides long. RefSeq lists it as uncharacterized. The transcript has 2 exons. NCBI's taxonomy places the organism in Eukaryota, Viridiplantae, Streptophyta, Magnoliopsida, Poales, Poaceae. The record is from RefSeq and is a predicted model, not a curated record.